ACGCUCGACACCUACGGGAGGCAGCAGUUGGGAAUAUUGGACAAUGGGGGAAACUCUGAUCCAGUGACGCCGCGUGAAGGAAGAAGGUCUUCGGAUUGUAAACUUAUUUUGUCAGGGAAGAAAAAUGACUGUACCUGAAGAAAAAGCACCGGCUAACUACGUGCUAGCAGCCGCGGUAAUCUGAGCGGGCUGGCAAGGC
RNAcentral lists this ribosomal RNA (199 nucleotides) under uncultured bacterium. Its description in RNAcentral is "partial 16S ribosomal RNA". It matches the Rfam family "Bacterial small subunit ribosomal RNA", at positions 328 to 539 of the family's 1533-position model. The record is from RNAcentral.